GAACGCUGGCGGCGUGCCUAAUACAUGCAAGUCGAACGCUUCACUUCGGUGAAGAGUGGCGAACGGGGGAGUAAUACAUAAGUAACCUGGCAUCUACAGGGGGAUAACUGAUGGAAACGUCAGCUAAGACCGCAUAGGUGUAGAGAUCGCAUGAACUCUAUAUGAAAAGUGCUACGGGACUGGUAGAUGAUGGACUUAUGGCGCAUUAGCUUGUUGGUAGGGUAACGGCCUACCAAGGCGACGAUGCGUAGCCGACCUGAGAGGGUGACCGGCCACACUGGGACUGAGACACGGCCCAGACUCCUACGGGAGGCAGCAGUAGGGAAUUUUCGGCAAUGGGGGAAACCCUGACCGAGCAACGCCGCGUGAAGGAAGAAGUAAUUCGUUAUGUAAACUUCUGUCAUAGAGGAAGAACGGUGGAUAUAGGGAAUGAUAUCCAAGUGACGGUACUCUAUAAGAAAGCCACGGCUAACUACGUG
RNAcentral lists this ribosomal RNA (479 nucleotides) under uncultured bacterium. RNAcentral describes it as "partial 16S ribosomal RNA". It matches the Rfam family "Bacterial small subunit ribosomal RNA", at positions 31 to 507 of the family's 1533-position model. The record is from RNAcentral.